GCACUAGUAGCUCAGUAUUAGAGCGCCGACCUUGUAAGCCGGACGCCGGGAGUUAAAAUCUCCCCUUUUGCU
This 72-nucleotide transfer RNA is filed under the name Pampus minor. RNAcentral describes it as "tRNA-Thr". It matches the Rfam family "tRNA". From Rfam's summary of the family: Transfer RNA (tRNA) molecules are approximately 80 nucleotides in length. Lineage: Eukaryota; Metazoa; Chordata; Actinopteri; Scombriformes; Stromateidae. The record is from RNAcentral.